Molecule: ribosomal RNA, 253 nt
Filed under: uncultured bacterium
Lineage: Bacteria
Description: partial 16S ribosomal RNA
Rfam family: Bacterial small subunit ribosomal RNA
Source: RNAcentral
UACGUAGGUGGCAAGCGUUGUCCGGAUUUACUGGGCGUAAAGGGUGCGUAGGCGGCGCGGUAAGUCGGGUGUGAAAUUUCGAGGCUUAACUUCGAAACUGCAUUCGAUACUGCCGUGCUAGAGGACUGGAGAGGAGACUGGAAUUUACGGUGUAGCGGUGAAAUGCGUAGAUAUCGUAAGGAAGACCAGUGGCGAAGGCGGGUCUCUGGACAGUUCCUGACGCUGAGGCACGAAGGCCAGGGGAGCAAACGGG